This is a long non-coding RNA of Helicoverpa zea (corn earworm), 300 nucleotides long. RefSeq lists it as uncharacterized. Lineage: Eukaryota; Metazoa; Arthropoda; Insecta; Lepidoptera; Noctuidae. The transcript is spliced from 2 exons. The record is from RefSeq and is a predicted model, not a curated record.
CCUUAAUACAAACAAUUCGGUAUAGACGAUAUUUGUUGUGUUUAAAACAGAUAUGAUAGUGAUAACCAGUAUCACCCAGUUAUCUUAAUGAGACUUUAAAUCUACAAUUUAUGAAAAUCCGGGUUUUCUAACAAGUCAUUGCUUGCUUAGGUCAAUAUUUGACAAUAGCUCGUGCGGGUCCGAUAGAUACGUAACGUUCACAUUAAUAAACACAGCUGCUGAAAGGUUGGCCGCAUUAGUUCUUACUGAUAUACUUUCAAUUUUAAUCCUCUUCAAAAUAAAAAAAAAUAAGAAUAACUA